AGAGUUUGAUCCUGGCUCAGAAUCAACGCUGGCGGCGUGCUAACACAUGCAAGUCGAACGAGAAAGUGGAGCAAUCCAUGAGUAAAGUGGCGCACGGGUGAGUAACACGUGACUAACCUACCCUUGAGUGGGGAAUAACUUCGGGAAACCGAGGCUAAUACCGCAUAACACCUACGGGUCAAAGGAGCAAUUCGCUUAAGGAGGGGGUCGCGGCAGAUUAGUUAGUUGGCGGGGUAAUGGCCCACCAAGACGGUGAUCUGUAUCCGGCCUGAGAGGGCGCACGGACACACUGGAACUGAAACACGGUCCAGACUCCUACGGGAGGCAGCAGUGGGGAAUUUUGCGCAAUGGGGGAAACCCUGACGCAGCAACGCCGCGUGGAGGAUGAAGUCCCUUGGGACGUAAACUCCUUUCGAUCGGGACGAUUAUGACGGUACCGGAAGAAGAAGCCCCGGCUAACUUCGUGCCAGCAGCCGCGGUAAUACGAGGGGGGCGAGCGUUGUUCGGAAUUAUUGGGCGUAAAGGGCGCGUAGGCGGUUGGAUAAGUCUCGUGUGAAAUCUUCGGGCUCAACUCGAAGUCUGCACGAGAAACUAUCCGGCUAGAGUGUGGGAGAGGUGAGUGGAAUUCCUGGUGUAGCGGUGAAAUGCGUAGAUAUCAGGAGGAACACCUGUGGCGAAAGCGGCUCACUGGACCACAACUGACGCUGAGGCGCGAAAGCUAGGGGAGCAAACAGGAUUAGAUACCCUGGUAGUCCUAGCCCUAAACGAUGAUCGCUUGGUGUGACGGGUACCCAAUCCCGCCGUGCCGAAGCUAACGCGUUAAGCGAUCCGCCUGGGGAGUACGGUCGCAAGGCUGAAACUUAAAGGAAUGACGG
RNAcentral lists this ribosomal RNA (875 nucleotides) under uncultured Acidobacteriaceae bacterium. RNAcentral describes it as "bacterial SSU rRNA". It matches the Rfam family "Bacterial small subunit ribosomal RNA", at positions 8 to 916 of the family's 1533-position model. The record is from RNAcentral. Lineage: Bacteria; Pseudomonadati; Acidobacteriota; Terriglobia; Terriglobales; Acidobacteriaceae.